GGUGGGUAGGGCUGGCGAAGGAAGGUGCCGAACGUGAACGAUUCGCAGUCUUCCCAGACAUAUGACAAGAAAUGACUGAACGUGGAAAUCAAGGAACAGAGUUGGAUAAUGGACGUGUAAAGCGUCACCGUUACUGAAAGUGAUUCGUGACAACGUCCGGUGCAUCACCAAGGCACGAGUCUUUCCGAGACAUAGACAAGCAAGGCCUGCCGGGAAAAUGUGGGCAAAGGAGAUGCCAGGCAUCCGAGGAGACAGUGGUCCUGGCGGAAGCCGUCUUGGUGCCACUUCCCAUAGUUGGAUUCGUUGAAAGUCGUCUUCAUCAGCUUCUUGAGAAGACAUUUCAUAACUGGAUGUUUAGAGGACAGUCCGUAUGUCAAUCAUCUCUACAAGACCUGAUGGACAUCAGUCUUUCACGGACAUAUGACAAGAAAUGCCUGGACUUGCUAAGGGCGAAGGAGCUGGGAAUGGAGGCUUCAGGUGCUACCAUCACUGACGGUGCUUCGUGGCAACAUCCAGUUCAUCACCAAGCCAAGGAGUCAUUCAGUCUCUCCAAGGCUCCUUUUGCACUCAGGUCUUCAGCCCGUUUCUGUGUUAUACAGGCCCAAUGUGUGACUGGUUUGGUUUCUGUGGCUGUGUCGAUGGUCGGCAUUGUUUUUAGCGUUACUCUAAAUUCUGUUUUUUAGAAACAGGAACUU
Molecule: long non-coding RNA, 695 nt
Organism: Branchiostoma floridae (Florida lancelet)
Lineage: Eukaryota; Metazoa; Chordata; Leptocardii; Amphioxiformes; Branchiostomatidae
Exons: 4
Source: RefSeq, a predicted model, not a curated record